ACGAACGCUGGCGGCGUGCCUAACACAUGCAAGUCGAACGGGGAUAGAUAGCUUGCUAUUUAUUCUAGUGGCGCACGGGUGAGUAACGCGUAGAUAAUCUGCCUUGGACUCUGGGAUAACAUUUCGAAAGGGGUGCUAAUACCGGAUAAGCCCACGGGGACGUAAGUUCUUGCGGGAAAAGGGGGCCUCUGCAUAUGCUCUUGAUCCAAGAUGAGUCUGCGUACCAUUAGCUAGUUGGUGGGGUAAGAGCCUACCAAGGCGACGAUGGUUAGCUGGUCUGGGAGGAUGAUCAGCCACACUGGAACUGAGACACGGUCCAGACUCCUACGGGAGGCAGCAGUGGGGAAUUUUGCGCAAUGGGGGAAACCCUGACGCAGCAACGCCGCGUGAGUGAUGAAGGCUUUCGGGUCGUAAAGCUCUGUCUAGAGGGAAGAAAUGACGGUACCUAAGGAAUCAGGGGUUGCUAACUCUGU
RNAcentral lists this ribosomal RNA (473 nucleotides) under uncultured bacterium. Its description in RNAcentral is "bacterial SSU rRNA". It matches the Rfam family "Bacterial small subunit ribosomal RNA", at positions 29 to 506 of the family's 1533-position model. The record is from RNAcentral.